RNAcentral lists this long non-coding RNA (1620 nucleotides) under Manihot esculenta (cassava). Its description in RNAcentral is "long non-coding RNA (MESC_LNC003908)". The record is from RNAcentral. Lineage: Eukaryota; Viridiplantae; Streptophyta; Magnoliopsida; Malpighiales; Euphorbiaceae.
GAAGCAAACAUACACAUCAGACUUGGGAUGUUUUGCUUCAGCAUGUUCUCGACACUUCACCUCCGUCGUGGUACAGAUGAAAGUCUGCAUGCAAACCUUGCACUGCAUUCAGUUUUCCAUGAGCCGCCAGAUGCAGCAUCAGAGCACCCGACAUCGAAAAUGGCGACAUCAUCAACAACAGAUCAAGUCACAACCUUUGUGAGAGGGCUCAUCAAAUAUACUUGUCUUUAUUGCACUAAGAACUAGAAAAUUUGAAACAAAAUCCAAUAAAGACAAUAGACCUUCAUUGAGCAGCUUUUAACUUCCAAUAUCAACCGGAAAAAUGCAACUUAUAAUUAUAAAUCAGAUUCAGAAUUCUUAACUUCUCUGAAUUUGAAUAUCCCAAAGAGGUUAUCUAAUGUGUGCAAACAAUGUAUAGUUUCAUUAUUAUGAAUGCAUCUUGUGUUGAGAAUACUGGUUUUAUGUGCCUGAACACAGAUCACAAAUAUAUCAAUGCAAAUCCAACCUCAAUAAGGUGUAAGAAAAGCAAAUCCAAGCUUGCAACAAGUUUAAACUCCUAGUCGGAACUUGAAAAGUUGUGACAAUGUCUACACAAAAAAAUAAAUAAAUAAAAAAUGCUGCCUUGAAAAAGGUCCAUCUCAGUUACAACGGACAACGUUUCAUACUAACAUGAUGACACAGCCCUUGUUCCUCGACAAUGUCUUCACAAAAAGAUAAAUAAAUAAACAGGUGACUGCAUGAAACUAACGGAUUGUGAAAAUUAUCCACCAUAGAUAAGACAUCUCAAAAACAAGAUGACACAGCCCUUGUUCCUCGACUAAGAAAAGAAGAUAAAUUCCUAACCGAAUUCCCAUUUAAAUAGACAAAUCAAAAAUAGCCAAAAAUUUAUGACAAAGUUUGAGAUAUCGAUCUAUGCUGUUCGUGUGGAUUAUUGGACUCAACAUCAACAAGCUGAGCUCAAAACCAAGAAAGAUUAGGACUACGGAACAGAAAGACUCAUUUAAGUGUUACAAUAAGAAUUAACCUGUCAUAGAAAGAAAUUAUAGCAACAGAAAUGCAAUCAGACAAGACCUUCACACGAGCUUAAUCGAAAGAUCCCAGCUAGCGCAAGAAAAUUUCAGGAUAAAGCAACAAUGAACUAGAAACCAAUCAGCACCCAUUACAACUUAAAGAUUUAUGCUUCAUUUGUUUGCGGAAAAUAUUUUCUCUAAAAAAUAAUUUCUAUGUACAACAUUUUCAAAAGAAUAUUUUCCAUUAUUUGAUUGUAACGUUAAAAAAAUAAAAUAUAAUUAAUAAAUUUAUGUAUUGAAAUUUAAUGGUGUUAAUGAAAUCCUUCAGAAAAUGACUUCUAAGGAAAUUUCCUAUAGACUAAUUUGCAGUUUUUCCAUUAUCAAUUUUCUUAAUGCCGCAAAACGUUAGAAAUGCGAAAUAUCACAAAACAAACAUAGCCCUAACAAGCCCCUAUGAUUCAGAAAACUAAAACCCGAUCAGAGAUUAGCUACCAAACUGUGACACUUGUAGCCUAUUUGAAUCUGAUACAAACAUCAGAACACAGAUCGAAGCGUGAAAAGAGAAUACCUGGAUAGUCAUAGCUUUCUUGUUAGUCUCAAGCUGGCUUCC